AUUGAACGCUGGCGGCAGGCCUAACACAUGCAAGUCGAGCGGCAGCGGAAAGUAGCUUGCUACUUUGCCGGCGAGCGGCGGACGGGUGAGUAAUGUCUGGGAAACUGCCCGAUGGAGGGGGAUAACUACUGGAAACGGUAGCUAAUACCGCAUAACGUCGCAAGACCAAAGAGGGGGACCUUCGGGCCUCUUGCCAUCGGAUGUGCCCAGAUGGGAUUAGCUAGUAGGUGGGGUAACGGCUCACCUAGGCGACGAUCCCUAGCUGGUCUGAGAGGAUGACCAGCCACACUGGAACUGAGACACGGGCCAGACUCCUACGGGAGGCAGCAGUGGGGAAUAUUGCACAAUGGGCGCAAGCCUGAUGCAGCCAUGCCGCGUGUAUGAAGAAGGCCUUCGGGUUGUAAAGUACUUUCAGCGGGGAGGAAGGUGUUGAGGUUAAUAACCUCAGCAAUUGACGUUACCCGCAGAAGAAGCACCGGCUAACUCCGUGCCAGCAGCCGCCGUAA
Molecule: ribosomal RNA, 506 nt
Filed under: uncultured bacterium
Lineage: Bacteria
Description: partial 16S ribosomal RNA
Rfam family: Bacterial small subunit ribosomal RNA
Source: RNAcentral